RNAcentral lists this ribosomal RNA (484 nucleotides) under uncultured bacterium. RNAcentral's name for it is "partial 16S ribosomal RNA". It matches the Rfam family "Bacterial small subunit ribosomal RNA", at positions 30 to 507 of the family's 1533-position model. The record is from RNAcentral.
AUUGAACGCUGGCGGCAGGCCUAACACAUGCAAGUCGAGCGGAUGAGGGGAGCUUGCUCCCUGAUUUAGCGGCGGACGGGUGAGUAAUGCCUAGGAAUCUGCCUGGUAGUGGGGGAUAACGUUCCGAAAGGAACGCUAAUACCGCAUACGUCCUACGGGAGAAAGCAGGGGACCUUCGGGCCUUGCGCUAUCAGAUGAGCCUAGGUCGGAUUAGCUAGUUGGUUAGGUAAUGGCUCACCAAGGCGACGAUCCGUAACUGGUCUGAGAGGAUGAUCAGUCACACUGGAACUGAGACACGGUCCAGACUCCUACGGGAGGCAGCAGUGGGGAAUAUUGGACAAUGGGCGAAAGCCUGAUCCAGCCAUGCCGCGUGUGUGAAGAAGGUCUUCGGAUUGUAAAGCACUUUAAGUUGGGAGGAAGGGCUGCUGGUUAAUACCCUGCAGUUUUGACGUUACCAACAGAAUAAGCACCGGCUAACUUCGUG